This 2158-nucleotide ribosomal RNA is filed under the name Salmonella enterica subsp. enterica serovar Haifa. RNAcentral's name for it is "partial 23S ribosomal RNA". It matches the Rfam family "Bacterial large subunit ribosomal RNA", at positions 1 to 1979 of the family's 2925-position model. The record is from RNAcentral. Lineage: Bacteria; Pseudomonadati; Pseudomonadota; Gammaproteobacteria; Enterobacterales; Enterobacteriaceae.
UUCAAGUCUUUAAGAGCAAACGGUGGAUGCCUUGGCAUCUGGAGCCGAAGAAGGACGUAGCAAUCUGCGAUAAGCCUCGGGGAACUGAUAAGCAAGUUUUGAUCCGAGGGUGUCCGAAUGGGGAAACCCCGCUGGGCGGCGUGCCGACCUAGUGACUCCCGCCUGAAUAUAUAGGGCGGGUAGAGGGAACGUGGGGAAGUGAAACAUCUCAGUACCCACAGGAAGAGAAAGCAACCGCGAUUCCGUUAGUAGUGGCGAGCGAAACCGGAUCAGGCUAAACCGAGUGUGUGUGAUAUCCGGCAGGAGUUGCAUAUUCGGGGUUGUGGGACUCACCAGUCAGUUCUGCCGAGCUGGCGACGUGACAGAAGCGUAUAGACGAACGGUCUUGAAAGGCCGGUCAUAGAGGGUGCCAACCCCGUAGUCGAAAUGCGUGUUCUGGCGUGGAGAGUAUCCCAAGUAGCACGGGGCCCGUGAAAUCCCGUGUGAAUCUGUCAGGACCACCUGAUAAGCCUAAAUACUCCCAGAUGACCGAUAGCGGACAAGUACCGUGAGGGAAAGGUGAAAAGUACCCCGGGAGGGGAGUGAAAUAGUACCUGAAACCGUUUGCUUACAAACCGUUGGAGCACCCCUGGUAGGUGUGACAGCGUGCCUUUUGAAGAAUGAGCCUGCGAGUUAGCGAUAUGUGGCGAGGUUAACCCGUGUGGGGUAGCCGUAGCGAAAGCGAGUCUGAAUAGGGCGAUUCAGUCGCAUGUCCUAGACCCGAAGCGAAGUGAUCUAUCCAUGGCCAGGUUGAAGCGACGGUAAGACGUCGUGGAGGACCGAACCCACUUAGGUUGAAAACUGAGGGGAUGAGCUGUGGAUAGGGGUGAAAGGCCAAUCAAACUUCGUGAUAGCUGGUUCUCUCCGAAAUGCAUUUAGGUGCAGCGUUGCGUGUUUCUUGCCGGAGGUAGAGCUACUGGAUGGCCGAUGGGCCCUACAAGGUUACUGACGUCAGCCAAACUCCGAAUGCCGGUAAGUGAGAGCGCAGCAGUGAGACUGUGGGGGAUAAGCUUCAUAGUCGAGAGGGAAACAACCCAGACCACCAACUAAGGUCCCAAAGCGCGUGCUAAGUGGGAAAGGAUGUGGAGUUGCUCUGACAACCAGGAGGUUGGCUUAGAAGCAGCCACCCUUGAAAGAGUGCGUAAUAGCUCACUGGUCAAGUGAUUCCGCGCCGACAAUGUAACGGGGCUCAAGCACGCCACCGAAGUUGUGGCAUUGACAUUAUUGGUAGGCCUUCGUGGUCCAGCCGUGUUGAUGGGUAGGAGAGCGUCGUGUGGCCAGCGAAGCGGCGGUGGAAACCAGCCGUGGAGGCUACACGAGUGAGAAUGCAGGCAUGAGUAGCGAAUGACGUGUGAGAAACACGUCCUCCGAAAGACCAAGGGUUCCAGGGUCAAGCUAAUCUUCCCUGGGUAAGUCGGGACCUAAGGCGAGGCCGACAGGCGUAGUCGAUGGACAACGGGUUGAUAUUCCCGUACCGGCGAAGAACCGCCCAAGCUAAUCCAGUGGUGCUAAACGUCCGAGCCUUCACAUCGUUGCCUUCGGGUGACACCGUGGAGGGGAGCACGUGACCCCAUGCUGGUGCGGUUAGCGUAUUAACAGGUGUGACGCAGGAAGGUAGUCCAAGCCAGGCGAUGGUUGUCCUGGUGCAAGUGCGUAGGCCGAGUCGUAGGCAAAUCCGCGACUCAUACAGGCUGAGACACGAUGCGGAUAAAAAGUGGAUGAUCCUAUGCUGCCGAGAAAAGCAUCGACGCGAGGUUCUAGCCGCCCGUACCCCAAACCGACUCAGGUGGUCAGGUAGAGAAUACCAAGGAGAUCGAGAGAAUCGUGGUUAAGGAACUCGGCAAAAUGCCCCCGUAACUUCGGGAGAAGGGGGGCCUUCGACGUAUUAGGACUUGCUCCGAAAGCGUUUGGAGGCCGCAGAGACUAGUGGGUAGCGACUGUUUACUAAAAACACAGGUCCGUGCCAAGUCGCAAGACGAUGUAUACGGACUGACGCCUGCCCGGUGCUGGAAGGUUAAGAGGACCGGUUAGCCGCAAGGCGAAGCUGAGAAUUUAAGCCCCAGUAAACGGCGGUGGUAACUAUAACCAUCCUAAGGUAGCGAAAUUCCUUGUCGGGUAA